UACGUAGGGCGCAAGCGUUGUCCGGAAUCAUUGGGCGUAAAGAGCUCGUAGGCGGUUUGUCGCGUCUGCUGUGAAAACCCGAGGCUCAACCUCGGGCCUGCAGUGGGUACGGGCAGACUAGAGUGCGGUAGGGGAGAUUGGAAUUCCUGGUGUAGCGGUGGAAUGCGCAGAUAUCAGGAGGAACACCAAUGGCGAAGGCAGAUCUCUGGGCCGUAACUGACGCUGAGGAGCGAAAGCAUGGGGAGCGAACAGG
This 253-nucleotide ribosomal RNA is filed under the name uncultured bacterium. Its description in RNAcentral is "partial 16S ribosomal RNA". It matches the Rfam family "Bacterial small subunit ribosomal RNA", at positions 524 to 776 of the family's 1533-position model. The record is from RNAcentral.